Humulus lupulus (European hop) is the source of this 107-nucleotide small nucleolar RNA. NCBI's taxonomy places the organism in Eukaryota, Viridiplantae, Streptophyta, Magnoliopsida, Rosales, Cannabaceae. The record is from RefSeq and is a predicted model, not a curated record.
AUACCAUGGUGAGGGCAUCUCCUUAAUAAUUCCAUGAAUCACUCCCAUUCUUCAUAAAGAGAUUCCUCGUCCUAUUGAUUGAAAGAGGUAAUCUUAUUUCAAAGUUU